This 358-nucleotide long non-coding RNA is filed under the name Brassica napus (rape). Its description in RNAcentral is "long non-coding RNA (BNAP_LNC011503)". Lineage: Eukaryota; Viridiplantae; Streptophyta; Magnoliopsida; Brassicales; Brassicaceae. The record is from RNAcentral.
AUAAAAUAUUUUAACUUUUUUAUUGAAAGAAAUUUAAUGGUUAUAUAUUUUUAUAUAAAAGAAUUAGAUUUGUAGGUAAUGAAUUAUUAGAACUUUUUAUGUUUUCUAAAAUCCACACAAAAACGUUUACAAAAUAUUUUCAUGAAAAAACAUCUUAUCAUUGUAUUGGUCCUACACAAAAAGAUUAUUCUCUUUUUUAUUUUUUUAAAGCUAGUGUAUUCCCGAUUUUUUCACCUGUUAAAAUAAAAUAUAAAGUAAUUGCAAAACUAAUUAUCCGAAUUAAUUGUAAUAUUAAUUUUCUGUAAGAGAAAUAUUUGUAAUGACUAAAGUUUACAUUGUUGAGCUAUUUUAAAUCUCA